CUCGCUCUAUUUUAUCAGAUCAAUCGUUCGUUGCUCUUCUGGCCUCUUCUGUUUCCCUUCCUCUUCAGCUUUAUUUAUCGAGUUUGGUCCAAUCUCAAUUAAACGAUCGUCUCUUCUUUUCUUCUUCUUCUUCUCCUUCUCAUCUUCCUCCUCCUCAUCCAAAACCAUCUUUUUUUUAUCUCAUCCUUAAUUAAUUUCAAUUUCUUUUCCUGUCAUCCACUCGCAUCCCAAAUCUCUUCUUCUCUAUAUCUGAUUUAUACUAAACUUCUUUUGUAGGACAAAGAAUACAUCGAGAGAUUGCAAAAUGUGGAGUUUGGGGAUCGAUCAAUUUUUGUUGCUGAUGACGACGACGUUAAGGUACCAUCUCCAGCGGAACUACCAAGAGGACAGAGCGGUGGCUGCUCGGAGGAACAAACUACAACAGCGAAGCACAAUAAAAUGUAUUUCCAAGUGAAGCAAAACUUGGAAAAGCCAAGGUAAUAUCCCUGAACAUAAUAGAGAAAGUAAAAUCUUAUUUGGUGUAUUAUUUAUGAUUUGGCAGUUCUUGGAGAGGCCGACUCAGCUGUUAACUGCAGUCAGAAGUCGAGGUACAGAUCUGCAAGAGAUCAUACAUAUUACAAACAUGGUGAUUUUAAUUUUUAAGUGUACUCAGCUGUUUUCUUAAUUUUUACAUGAACUGUUCCAUUUACAGUCAAUAAAAUCAUCAUGUCUUUUACUGAAUAUUGUUGGGGUUUUUUUUCAUCACUUUUUUUCUCUUAAAUGUGAAAAUUUCUUAUGGGUUUAUUGGGGAUUUUAGAAAUUUGAGGUGGAGAUGGAAUUGGGAUGUUUGAUUGUAGUGUUCUAGACAAUUUGGAGUUCAGUUAAAUCAUAGAGCUAUAGUUCAUAGACUUCUGUUCAGUUCAUACCUAACAGCCAUAAGAAACCCAAGCAAUAAAAGAACUUUUCCAUUUUACAGUCAAUAAAAUCACUAUGUCUUUUACAUCAGAUCAAACCCUUAAUUUUGAAAAUCCCAUAAUGGUUUUCAAGAAGGUUUUAGCCAAGGCUCAGGCCUCAGGAGGGGUGCUGGUACUGUUGUUAGUAGAAGCAUUGGAAGGUUUAAAAUUGACAGAUUAUUGUUUUUUUUUGCAUAACCUUUUUCUCUUAAAUGUGAAAAUUUCUUAUGGGUUUAUUUGGGUUUACUCUGUUUUUAAAUCACGAGUUUUGUUUUACAACUUCAAUUUACCUGCGUGUUGACUAUAUCCUUUAAUGGAUUAUUCAUUUAUGUGUAUUUAUAUAUAAGUAUUGAUUUGGGAUGAAGCUCUUAUGAAUCACAAAUUUGUGUUUGAAUCAGUUGAUAGAAUAUCCAUUUUUUGAAUUGAAAAAACAUCACACCAUUUACGAGGCAUACCUCUCAUUCGUUAAGAGAUAAUAUCCAUUUUUUGAAUUCCUUGACCAAUUGUUUGUAAGUCAGUUAAGAGAAUAUCAUUGCUUUUUUUUUACAGAGGUGGAGAAAAUGAGGUAAACAAGGCAGCUGACAAAAGGAAUUAAUAACAAUGGAGCCAUCCAAGUUGACCAAUGAGCUGGUAAUUGAAUUUAAUGUCUUAAUGGAUAGUUACUAAUAACUUUGUGUUAUUUGUUGAGUUUGGGAUAUGAAUUUGAUGUAAAAUUUAAUUUUUGGGAUAUAAAGUUAAUAUAGAAUUUUGCAUGCUUGGAAUUUGGUACUGAUGGUGGACCUACAUGGUAACUUCCAAAGUAAUUGUUCUCCAAAAUUUUCUAACCUCUACGGUUGGUUUUGCACUAACUAUUGAUGUUGGACUUUUUGUUGUAGUUUCUUUGAAUAAAAAUUUUUUAGGAGAAAAAAUAGUGUGAAAGAGGACCUGGUCAUCAGACUGAUUAUAAAUCCGGGUCCCCCAAGAAUUUUUCUUUUGAUUUACAUUAAGAUAAAAAGGUAAAUUAAAUAUUUUACCCUCUCACCGAAUGAUGCGGUGGUGUUAAAAGGGAUUAAGAGGCUAUAUACUACGGUACUGCCCCUCUAAAUACAAAAAUAUAGUCACAGAGAUCACAACUACAAGAACCCUACCCUAAUCUCUUUUCCUCUCUAACCGUCUCUUUCGCUAUCCUCACUGCUCUCAAUUCAGCUUUUUAACAUGUGUUGGGUUUCAAGCCUUAAUCUCAUCUUUAAUUAUGCUUGGCCAAAGCCCAUUUGAUCUACACUUUUCAAUUUAUGUAAAGUGAUUAGAUUAUGAUCUUUGUUGAAACCAUCUACUACAUUGGUACUUAUAUCUAUUGAAGUGAUGGUACAUGAUGGGUUUUAUUUGGAAUGUUUAUUUUUGAUGUUUUCUUGGUUUUGUUGCUGAAAAUGGUGUUUAUGAUUAGAGAUUGGUUGAUAUGUGGUGUCCUCUAUAUUUUCGUUGGUGGAGUAUGGCAUUCAUUCUUAGAGGGUAAUUUGAGGCGAGUUAUUUGGUAAUUUUAGUAAAGAUUUCAACUUUAGCUUUGAGGAAACUGGAAAAAUGCUUCUAGAUUCUAUUUAUGGAUAAUUCUAUCAUCUGACAUUCUUGGAGGAUAAUUUGAGGUAUCAGUAAAGAUUGCAACUUUGGCUCUGAGAAUUAUGGGAAUGUCUUUAUUAGCUUCUAUUUAUGGAUAAUUCUACUGUAUGAUGCUCAUUGAUAAAUGUCAGGUUGAAAAAAAAGAGACAGAUUUGGAUUUUUUUGUUUGUUUGCGAAACUGCAGUUUCAUGUGUAGUUAGUGAAAAUGUUCCUUAAGAGUAUAAUUCAGGAUAUGAAGGGUGAGUUUGGGAGCAUUUCUAGGAAAGGGUUUGAUGUGAAAUUUGGUUAUGGGUUGAGGUCGAGGUCCCAGCGGUCGGUUCAGGACAGCUUGACGCCAGUUGAUGCUUUCAAGCAGAGUUGUUGGGCUAAUAUGCCCCCGGAGCUCUUGAGGGAUGUGUUAAUUUUGAUUUUGGUACAUUGCUUUAUUUAAUAGGGAUGAAGAACUCAAUUUCAAGGAAGUAAAUCCAAAACAAGACCAUCAGAUCAAAGAUUGCUUAAAUCAUUGGAAGAUAUAAUAUUGUAUUUUUAUGUGUUGUUUAAAUUUUAGGAUAUAAAAUGGGCUACUUUGGGUUUGUUAACGUUUGUAAUUGACUAAUAUUCAAUUUAAGAGAAUUUUGUUAUGAAUUCGCAGUGGGUAUGAAUUAUGAAUUAGUUAUAAAAAUCUCCAAAUGUGUAUUCAUCUCCGG
Molecule: long non-coding RNA, 3211 nt
Filed under: Panax ginseng (ginseng)
Lineage: Eukaryota; Viridiplantae; Streptophyta; Magnoliopsida; Apiales; Araliaceae
Description: long non-coding RNA (PGIN_LNC016294)
Source: RNAcentral